Molecule: ribosomal RNA, 814 nt
Filed under: uncultured Streptococcaceae bacterium
Lineage: Bacteria; Bacillati; Bacillota; Bacilli; Lactobacillales; Streptococcaceae
Description: bacterial SSU rRNA
Rfam family: Bacterial small subunit ribosomal RNA
Source: RNAcentral
ACAGUUUAUACCGUAGCUUGCUACACCAUAGACUGUGAGUUGCGAACGGGUGAGUAACGCGUAGGUAACCUGCCUAUUAGAGGGGGAUAACUAUUGGAAACGAUAGCUAAUACCGCAUAACAGUAUGUAACACAUGUUAGAUGCUUGAAAGAUGCAAUUGCAUCGCUAGUAGAUGGACCUGCGUUGUAUUAGCUAGUAGGUAGGGUAAAGGCCUACCUAGGCAACGAUACAUAGCCGACCUGAGAGGGUGAUCGGCCACACUGGGACUGAGACACGGCCCAGACUCCUACGGGAGGCAGCAGUAGGGAAUCUUCGGCAAUGGGGGGAACCCUGACCGAGCAACGCCGCGUGAGUGAAGAAGGUUUUCGGAUCGUAAAGCUCUGUUGUUAAGGAAGAACGAGUGUGAGAAUGGAAAGUUCAUACUGUGACGGUACUUAACCAGAAAGGGACGGCUAACUACGUGCCAGCAGCCGCGGUAAUACGUAGGUCCCGAGCGUUGUCCGGAUUUAUUGGGCGUAAAGCGAGCGCAGGCGGUUAGAAAAGUCUGAAGUGAAAGGCAGUGGCUCAACCAUUGUAGGCUUUGGAAACUGUUUAACUUGAGUGCAGAAGGGGAGAGUGGAAUUCCAUGUGUAGCGGUGAAAUGCGUAGAUAUAUGGAGGAACACCGGUGGCGAAAGCGGCUCUCUAGUCUGUAACUGACGCUGAGGCUCGAAAGCGUGGGGAGCGAACAGGAUUAGAUACCCUGGUAGUCCACGCCGUAAACGAUGAGUGCUAGGUGUUAGGUCCUUUCCGGGACUUAUGCCGUAGCUAACGCA